UACAGAGAGCUCAAGCGUUAUCCGGAAUCAUUGGGCGUAAAGCGUACCGAUAGGUGGUCUAAAAAGUCAGAAGUGAAAUCUCAAGGCUCAACUUUGAGACUGUCUUUUGAAACUUUUAGACUAGAGGGGCAAAGAGGAAGCUGGAACGAACGGUGUAGUAGUGAAAUGCGUUGAUAUCGUUCGGAACACCAAUAGCGAAGGCGGGCUUCUGGGUGCCACCUGACACUGCUAGGACGAAAGCGUGGGGAGCGAAUGGG
Molecule: ribosomal RNA, 257 nt
Filed under: uncultured bacterium
Lineage: Bacteria
Description: partial 16S ribosomal RNA
Rfam family: Bacterial small subunit ribosomal RNA
Source: RNAcentral